Molecule: long non-coding RNA, 3939 nt
Organism: Taeniopygia guttata (zebra finch)
Lineage: Eukaryota; Metazoa; Chordata; Aves; Passeriformes; Estrildidae
Source: Ensembl
UAAGUUUGGGAAUUUCUUUAGUUAUUAUUUUUUUUUUUGCAUUUUAGAAAUAAUCCAGAAAAUCUUCAGCAUCAGUGAAGCUAAAAGCAUGCUCAUUUUUAACAGCAGCAUAAAUAUUAAUCACAAUCACCAGUCAAGACUGAGGAUUUUAUUUGGUACAAUGUGUACAACCAUGCAACAAUUAUGUAAAAAUGGAAGUUAUUAUGAGCUGUAAUUAAUAUACUGUGUUACCAGCUGACUCAAAGCACUUUGCUCAGCAUCCUUAAUUUUAAAGACUUCAUCCGAAUAGUGGUAAAAUGUACACUAAAUUCAGUAAAGCACAUCAACAGCCCUAGGCUUUCUCCUCUGGUUGUGACUACCACUGAAUUUUAUUUCUGCUGAAAUCUUUCUAUGAAAAAAAAAAUACCAGUAUAAUUGCUGAUUUACCACCACUACUUAAUCUAAUUCAGUACUUAGUGGUCCAUUAACAUAACAGAAUUUGCAUUUUAUUUCACAGAAAAUGUUAUGACUCCACCUGCCUUAGUUCAGAAAACGUAUCAGAAACAGGAAAAAUGGUAUAAGCAGAGAAAUGACAAACCACUUACAUUUACUAAAACAACUUAAAUAUAAAAGGGGAAGGUGUAGUGGUAUUUGUAGAGUAUACAAUCUUUGCAAGUGAACUAAAAGGGUUCAAAUCCCCUCACAUCCUUCAGUUCCAUCACUCAGUUUCCAUUUUAUUGGGUUUCCAAAACUCAGAAAUAAUUUUCAAAUGUGCUGCUAUCACAUGCCAUUAUCCUUGUAAAAUUUUAUUCCUUGUGAAGACGGUGACAGAAAAUGUGCAAAGACAUAUGCAGGGAUAUAGUGCUUUAUCAAACUAUAACAUUCCUAAACAUAACUGCUUUCCUAUUGACUGGGACCUAAUCCAGACACUAGAGAUCAUAGAAAAAUUACAAGUUAUCACACCUUGCCCAGAGUGAGGUGAUCAAAAUAAUAACAAAAUAAGGAUACUUUGAUUGACAGUUUAUAUGUAUUUCUUUAUAUUUUUGCACUUCCUUUGAGGCUCAAAUCCUAAGGGUGACAGCUGUCAUUUUAAAAGUGACUCAGUGCAUUCCCUUACAGAGUCCCCUAACACAUGGAAAGGUCUUUGUUUCCCAGGGAACACUGACAGGUUAUGAUUUCCAGAGCUUUUAAUCAUUUUAGCAACACUUAUACACAUAUCUCAAUUACUGUAUUCAGUGAUGUUAAUAAUACAGCAAUCUGAGAGUGACAAAGAACACUCUUUUCUUAAAAACACAACUUUUCCAUCAAGAUUGGAAACAGAACAAAAACACUUUUGAAGAGCUGUUUUCUCCCAGACAAAUCAGUGUAAGUGCCAGGGUAUUUGGUCUGGCUAAGAUUAAUUUCAUUUUCCCCACAGCAGCCCUCACAGCACUGUGCUCUGCAGUGGUAGCUGGAAAGGUGUUGGUAACACACCAGUGUUCUGGCCCCUGCUGAGCCGGGCUGGCACAGCAUCAGUGCUGCCUUCCCAACAUCCUAUGCACACUCCUGCCCACAACAGUACUCUGGGGAUGGGAAAGACCUUGGCACAGGAUAUAGCCAGGACAGAUGACCAAAGGGGUAGUCUAUAUGAUAUCUUCUCAGACAUGAAAGAUAAGAGAAAGGAACAGGUGGGAGGGAUUAAUUAUUUAUGACAUUUGUCUUCUGGAGCAAGUGCUGCAUGCGCUGAAGUCCUACUUCCCAGAAAAGAACUGGACAUCACCUGCUGAUGGGAAGUAAAAAAUAAAUCUUUUGUUUUCCUUUGCUAAUGCAUGCAGUCUUGCUUUUGCUAUUUUAAACUGCCCUUAUCUUUUCCUAUUAGUGUUUUUUGCAUCUUGUUUUCUCCUCCUGUCCUCAUGGAGAGGGGACUGCUAGGCCGUUUGGUGGGCACCUGGACUGCAGCCAAGGUCGACCCACCACAACCAGUAUUUAUUGUAACAGAAAAAAAUUAUUUUCAUAAUACAUGUCUACAGAGCUUUUCUCCUCCUCUCCUGAGCUACAGGGAAGCUAUAAAUCAUUAAAACAUACAACCGAUAAAACAUGACAAGCUGGCAUCACACAAAUAAUUAAAAUCAAAGUCACUGCGCAGAAGUGAUAAUUUUGGUCAGGUACAGAGUAAUGGCCUUCACUGUGGUGCUUUUUCUGGUUGUGAUACCGAGCACUUGAAGCCCCCAAGGCUUCAGAAUAGAGGCAGCAGAUGUGUGUCUACCAGUAGAUGUGGUAGCUCUACCUCAUGACUAAUAUGCAGCUCAUUCAUUCCUUAUUGAACUGAGGCUGCAGUCCCCUUAUGUAAACCAGGUAUGUUUUUGCAGUGAUGUUACAAGGUAUCCACAUAGAAGCUGCAUAGCUUUUACAGAGCAAUGACACUGGGAUGUUUUGGAGGGGCUUUUUUGACAUCUAUAUUAUGUUCAUUAUGAACAGGAACCUGAGCAUCCAAAUAUAAACAUUUUAGAAUAAUAUAGAAAAGAUUUUCAGAAAAAAUAUUUUUACAGCAUCCUAUAUAUAUUUUUUUUAAUUAGAGGAAAUUUUAUUCUGAUACUUACUAUGAAAAGUAAGUAAAGCCCUAAUGCUCUGCAGUGUAAGAACAACUUAGCAGCACCUUAGUGACAGAACCCUUUCAGCUUUCAAACUAUAUUUUAAGAAGUCUCAAUUGAAGAUUUUUGUGCCAUCAGGCAGUACUUAGUACUAUUUAAUAUCAUCACAAUAGCAUUUGAAGACCCUAGCAAAGGAGUUACAUCUUCUUUUUAAAGCACUACUGAUAAGCAGUGAAAUGUUUCAUAUUGAAAAAGUAUUACAGAAAUGAAGCAAAGCAAAACAAAACAAUAUUUCAGAUAGUGAAAAUCUUAUUAUCUCCAGACCCAUCAAAACUGAAGUAAUGUGACAGAAUUUAUAGGUUAUGGUCUGCUCACGCAAUGUGUGCUGGAGCCAGGAAUUUGACUUGCAUUUCCCUGUUAUUCUAAUCCAGACCUUGAACUAUUGCAAUCACCUUUUCAUCUUCUUCAGGAAGAUCAGAUAGCUUAUGGAUCACAAAAGCAGUUCCUAGAAUUUAAACCUGUCCCACAACAGUUUAACCCCAGCCUUCAACCACUUCUCUGUACAUACUGUAUAAGCACUGCUAUUCUUCCAGCAGCAAAGUUGUCAGGAAGAGUGUUUCCCAUCAUUUUCUCAGGGGCCUUAGACCCCUAGGGUCCUUGACAUCUCUGUAUAUGUUCUCUUGAAAAAGAUAUGGACUAUUCAAAUGCUCUUCUGUAAAGUAAAAUAAGUGGCAGCUGGCACCAUACAGUUCUGUUAUAAUGAAAACAUGAGGUGGUUGCCAUUACACAGUCCUGCACUAAUGAGAACAGUAGGAGUCUAGCAUUACAAUGGUCUAAUGAAAACAGGAAAUGGCUGGCAUUAGAUUGGUAUAAUGAAAACAGGAGGUGGUUGGCAUUAUGCUUAUGCAAUAAAUAAAUUAAGAUUUCUGGCCCUACCAAUCUCAUCUAGAUUAUAUAUUAUUCCAGUAUGCAAGAGAGAAACUUCUAUAAAAUAUGGGACAGGGACAUUAAAGAUAAUUCUUUGUUACAUCACCUCAGAAGCAGAGUUGUGUCCUUUUCUUUUCAACUGUUUAUUUUUUUUUGGUGGUUAUACACAAGCCAAACAGGCACAUGGUUUAAAAAAAUGACACGUAACCUAUGCAGGCUCUUUUAUUUAAAAGUAGCCAAAAGUAGCUUGUUUUCUGGUGCCUGUCAUGCUUUAUUGUGAAAGGUUAAAAAUAGCUUAUCAAAAAGUGAAAACUGAUAUGACUGGACUUUUUUAAAUGAGUCUCACACUUAGUUCUCCCAAACUGGGCUAAGUGUGCAAUUGAUAAUAUUUUGGGAUGUUUAAUGCAAUACAGAGAAUGAGAUCAAUACUUGCUGAGAACUAAGGAGAAAAAAAAAAAAAAAA